AUUGAACGCUGGCGGCAGGCCUAACACAUGCAAGUCGAACGGUAACAGGAAACAGCUUGCUGUUUCGCUGACGAGUGGCGGACGGGUGAGUAAUGUCUGGGAAACUGCCUGAUGGAGGGGGAUAACUACUGGAAACGGUAGCUAAUACCGCAUAACGUCGCAAGACCAAAGAGGGGGACCUUCGGGCCUCUUGCCAUCGGAUGUGCCCAGGUGGGAUUAGCUAGUAGGUGGGGUAACGGCUCACCUAGGCGACGAUCCCUAGCUGGUCUGAGGGGAUGACCAGCCACACUGGAACUGAGACACGGUCCAGACGCCUACGGGUGGCAGCAGUGGGGAGUAUUGCACAAUGGGCGCAAGCGUGACGCGGCCAUGUCGCGUGUAUGAAGAAGGCCUUCGGGUUGUAAAGUACUUUCAGCGGGAGGAAGGGAGUAAAGUUAAUACCUUUGCUCAUUGACGUUACCCGCAGAAGAAGCACCGGCUAACUCCGUGCCAGCAGCCGCAGUAA
This 505-nucleotide ribosomal RNA is filed under the name uncultured bacterium. RNAcentral describes it as "partial 16S ribosomal RNA". It matches the Rfam family "Bacterial small subunit ribosomal RNA", at positions 30 to 523 of the family's 1533-position model. The record is from RNAcentral.